Molecule: ribosomal RNA, 978 nt
Filed under: Triticum aestivum (bread wheat)
Lineage: Eukaryota; Viridiplantae; Streptophyta; Magnoliopsida; Poales; Poaceae
Description: partial small subunit ribosomal RNA
Source: RNAcentral
AUGUCGAUGACAUCAUCCAAGCAUGUCUUCGGUUCCUACGGCAUCAUGGCGUUGCUCUUCUUCGCCGCGGCUCUUGUUACAGCGGAUCUUUCCGCUGAAUUCUACGACGAAAGCUGCCCGGACGCUCUGGACAUCAUCGAGGACGCCGUGAGGGCCGCCGUCUCCAAAGAAUCCCGCAUGGGCGCGUCGCUGCUCCGCCUCCAUUUCCACGACUGCUUCGUCAAUGGCUGUGACGGGUCGGUGCUGCUCGAUGGCGCCACCGGCGAGAAGAAUGCGGUGCCAAACAAGAACUCCCUUCGCGGCUUCGAGCUGGUCGACGACAUCAAGGCGCAGCUCGAGGAAGCGUGCGCCAAGGUGGUGUCCUGCGCAGACAUCCUCGCCGUCGCCGCCCGUGACUCCGUUGUCGCGCUGGGCGGGCCUACCUGGGACGUGGAGCUAGGCAGAAGGGACGGGACGACGACGAGCCAGGACGCCGCGAACAGCGACCUCCCGGCGCCGACCUCCGACCUCGGCGCCCUGACCAAGGCAUUCUCAACCAAGGGCCUCACCCAGAAGGACAUGGUGGCGCUCUCCGGCGCGCACACCAUCGGGCAGGCCCGGUGCGUCAACUUCCGCGGCCGCCUCUACAACGAGACCGCACCCAGCCUGGACGCGACGCUCGCCACGUCGCUGAAGCCGAGGUGCCCAGCGACGGACGGCACCGGCGACGACAACACCUCGCCGCUGGACCCCUCCACGUCCUACGUGUUCGACAACUUCUACUACAAGAACCUCCUGCGCAACAAGGGCCUGCUGCACUCGGACCAGCAGCUGUUCAGCGGCGGCGGCUCGGCCGACGCGCAGACCACCGCCUACGCGUCCGGCAUGGGUGCCGGCUUCUUCGACGACUUCCGCGACGCCAUGGUGAAGAUGGGCGGCAUCGGCGUGCUCACCGGGUCGAGCGGGCAGGUCAGGGUGAACUGCAGGAAGGCCAACUGA